This 1436-nucleotide ribosomal RNA is filed under the name uncultured organism. RNAcentral describes it as "SSU rRNA". It matches the Rfam family "Bacterial small subunit ribosomal RNA". The record is from RNAcentral.
UUUUGAUGAACGCUAGCUACAGGCUUAACACAUGCAAGUCGAGGGUCAGCAUGGUCUUAGCUUGCUAAGGCCGAUGGCGACCGGCGCACGGGUGAGUAACACGUAUCCAACCUGCCGUCUACUCUUGGACAGCCUUCUGAAAGGAAGAUUAAUACAAGAUGGCAUCAUGAGUCCACAUGUUCACAUGAUUAAAGGUAUUCCGGUAGACGACGGGGAUGCGUUCCAUUAGAUAGUAGGCGGGGUAACGGCCCACCUAGUCUUCGAUGGAUAGGGGUUCUGAGAGGAAGGUCCCCCACAUUGGAACUGAGACACGGUCCAAACUCCUACGGGAGGCAGCAGUGAGGAAUAUUGGUCAAUGGGCGAGAGCCUGAACCAGCCAAGUAGCGUGAAGGAUGACUGCCCUAUGGGUUGUAAACUUCUUUUAUAAAGGAAUAAAGUCGGGUAUGCAUACCCGUUUGCAUGUACUUUAUGAAUAAGGAUCGGCUAACUCCGUGCCAGCAGCCGCGGUAAUACGGAGGAUCCGAGCGUUAUCCGGAUUUAUUGGGUUUAAAGGGAGCGUAGAUGGAUGUUUAAGUCAGUUGUGAAAGUUUGCGGCUCAACCGUAAAAUUGCAGUUGAUACUGGAUAUCUUGAGUGCAGUUGAGGCAGGCGGAAUUCGUGGUGUAGCGGUGAAAUGCUUAGAUAUCACGAAGAACUCCGAUUGCGAAGGCAGCCUGCUAAGCUGCAACUGACAUUGAGGCUCGAAAGUGUGGGUAUCAAACAGGAUUAGAUACCCUGGUAGUCCACACGGUAAACGAUGAAUACUCGCUGUUUGCGAUAUACGGCAAGCGGCCAAGCGAAAGCGUUAAGUAUUCCACCUGGGGAGUACGCCGGCAACGGUGAAACUCAAAGGAAUUGACGGGGGCCCGCACAAGCGGAGGAACAUGUGGUUUAAUUCGAUGAUACGCGAGGAACCUUACCCGGGCUUAAAUUGCAGAUGAAUUACGGUGAAAGCCGUAAGCCGCAAGGCAUCUGUGAAGGUGCUGCAUGGUUGUCGUCAGCUCGUGCCGUGCGGUGUCGGCUUAAGUGCCAUAACGAGCGCAACCCUUGUUGUCAGUUACUAACAGGUUCCGCUGAGGACUCUGACAAGACUGCCAUCGUAAGAUGUGAGGAAGGUGGGGAUGACGUCAAAUCAGCACGGCCCUUACGUCCGGGGCUACACACGUGUUACAAUGGGGGGUACAGAGGGCCGCUACCACGCGAGUGGAUGCCAAUCCCCAAAACCUCUCUCAGUUCGGACUGGAGUCUGCAACCCGACUCCACGAAGCUGGAUUCGCUAGUAAUCGCGCAUCAGCCACGGCGCGGUGAAUACGUUCCCGGGCCUUGUACACACCGCCCGUCAAGCCAUGGGAGCCGGGGGUACCUGAAGUGCGUAACCGCGAGGAGCGCCCUAGGGUA